ACAAUGGAGAGUUUGAUCCUGGCUCAGGAUGAACGCUAGCGGCAGGCUUAACACAUGCAAGUCGAGGGGCAGCAAGGGUAGCAAUACCUGUUGGCGACCGGCGCACUGGUGAGUAACGCGUAUGCAACUUUCCCUUAACAGGGGGAUAGCUUCGAGAAAUCGAAAUUAAUACCCCAUAACAACAGUUUUUCACAUGAGAGAUUGUUUAAAGCCACGGUGGUUAAGGAUGGGCAUGCGUGACAUUAGCUAGUUGGUGAGGUAACGGCUCACCAAGGCGACGAUGUCUAGGGGGUCUGAGAGGAUGAUCCCCCACACUGGUACUGAGACACGGACCAGACUCCUACGGGAGGCAGCAGUGAGGAAUAUUGGUCAAUGGACGCAAGUCUGAACCAGCCAUGCCGCGUGCAGGAAGACGGCCCUACGGGUUGUAAACUGCUUUUAUACAGGGAUAAACGUUAGUUUGCGAACUAAUCUGAAGGUACUGUAUGAAUAAGGAUCGGCUAACUCCGUGCCAGCAGCCGCGGUAAUACGGAGGAUCCAAGCGUUCUCCGGAUUUAUUGGGUUUAAAGGGUGUGCAGGCGGGAUGAUAAGUCAGUGG
Molecule: ribosomal RNA, 598 nt
Filed under: Bacteroidota bacterium
Lineage: Bacteria; Pseudomonadati; Bacteroidota
Description: bacterial SSU rRNA
Rfam family: Bacterial small subunit ribosomal RNA
Source: RNAcentral